This 700-nucleotide ribosomal RNA is filed under the name uncultured fungus. RNAcentral's name for it is "eukaryotic LSU rRNA". It matches the Rfam family "Eukaryotic large subunit ribosomal RNA", at positions 86 to 807 of the family's 3401-position model. The record is from RNAcentral. Lineage: Eukaryota; Fungi.
ACGGCGAGUGAAGCGGUAACAGCUCAAAUUUGAAAUCUGGCCUCACGGCCCGAGUUGUAAUUUGUAGAGGAUGCUUCGAGCAUGGUCCGGCCUAAGUUCCUUGGAACAGGACGUCAUAGAGGGUGAGAAUCCCGUAUGUGGCCGGGUGCCUACGCUUAUGUGAAGCUCCUUCGACGAGUCGAGUUGUUUGGGAAUGCAGCUCAAAAUGGGUGGUAAAUUUCAUCUAAAGCUAAAUAUUGGCCAGAGACCGAUAGCGCACAAGUAGAGUGAUCGAAAGAUGAAAAGCACUUUGGAAAGAGAGUUAAACAGUACGUGAAAUUGUUGAAAGGGAAGCGCUUGCAACCAGACUUGCGUGCGGCCGAUCAUCCGGUGUUCUCACCGGUGCACUCGGCCGUGCUCAGGCCAGCAUCGGUUUCGGCGGCUGGAUAAAGGCCCUAGGAAUGUGGCUCCUCUCGGGGAGUGUUAUAGCCUAGGGUGCAAUGCAGCCUGCUGGGGCCGAGGACCGCGCUUCGGCUAGGAUGCUGGCGUAAUGGUUGUAAGCGGCCCGUCUUGAAACACGGACCAAGGAGUCUAACAUCUAUGCGAGUGUUUGGGUGUCAAACCCAUACGCGUAAUGAAAGUGAACGGAGGUGAGAACCCUUAAGGGUGUAUCAUCGACCGAUCCUGAUGUCUUCGGAAGGAUUUGAGUAAGAGCAUAGCU